Molecule: ribosomal RNA, 225 nt
Filed under: uncultured Ruminococcus sp.
Lineage: Bacteria; Bacillati; Bacillota; Clostridia; Eubacteriales; Oscillospiraceae
Description: partial 16S ribosomal RNA
Rfam family: Bacterial small subunit ribosomal RNA
Source: RNAcentral
AGUGUAGGCGGGAUUGUAAGUCAGAUGUGAAAACUAUGGGCUCAACUCAUAGACUGCAUUUGAAACUGCGAUUCUUGAGUGAAGUAGAGGUAAGCGGAAUUCCUAGUGUAGCGGUGAAAUGCGUAGAUAUUAGGAGGAACAUCAGUGGCGAAGGCGGCUUACUGGGCUUUAACUGACGCUGAGGCUCGAAAGCGUGGGGAGCAAACAGGAUUAGAUACCCCCGUA